RNAcentral lists this ribosomal RNA (305 nucleotides) under uncultured bacterium. Its description in RNAcentral is "bacterial SSU rRNA". It matches the Rfam family "Bacterial small subunit ribosomal RNA", at positions 337 to 639 of the family's 1533-position model. The record is from RNAcentral.
UCCUACGGGAGGCAGCAGUGAGGAAUAUUGGUCAAUGGGCGGAAGCCUGAACCAGCCAAGUCGCGUGAGGGAAGAAGGCCCUGCGGGUCGCAGACCUCUUUGGACGGGGAGCAAGGCCGCCGACGUGUCGGCGGAAGGAGAGUACCCGUAGAACAAGCAUCGGCUAACUCCGUGCCAGCAGCCGCGGUAAUACGGAGGAUGCGAGCGUUAUCCGGAUUCAUUGGGUUUAAAGGGUGCGCAGGCGGGCCUUUAAGCCGGCGGUGAAAUCGCGGGGCUCAACCCCGCCGAGCCGUCGGCACUGGGGG